UACGUAGGGGGCAAGCGUUGUUCGGAAUUACUGGGCGUAAAGGGCGCGUAGGCGGCACGGCAAGUCAGGAGUGAAAGGCCUGGGCUCAACCGAGGAACUGCUUUUGAGACUGCCGAGCUAGAGUGCAGAAGGGGCAACUGGAAUUCCCAGUGUAGCGGUGAAAUGCGUAGAUAUUGGGAAGAACACCGGAGGCGAAGGCGGGUUGCUGGGCUGACACUGACGCUGAGGCGCGAAAGCCAGGGGAGCAAACGGG
This 253-nucleotide ribosomal RNA is filed under the name uncultured bacterium. Its description in RNAcentral is "partial 16S ribosomal RNA". It matches the Rfam family "Bacterial small subunit ribosomal RNA", at positions 524 to 776 of the family's 1533-position model. The record is from RNAcentral.